Molecule: ribosomal RNA, 446 nt
Filed under: uncultured bacterium
Lineage: Bacteria
Description: partial 16S ribosomal RNA
Rfam family: Bacterial small subunit ribosomal RNA
Source: RNAcentral
CCUACGGGAGGCAGCAGUCGAGAAUCAUUCACAUUGGGGGAAACCCUGAUGGUGCGACGCCGCGUGGGGGAAUGAAGGUCUUCGGAUUGUAAACCCCUGUCAUGUGGGAGCAAAUUAAAAAGAUAGUACCACAAGAGGAAGAGACGGCUAACUCUGUGCCAGCAGCCGCGGUAAUACAGAGGUCUCAAGCGUUGUUCGGAAUCACUGGGCGUAAAGCGUGCGUAGGCUGUUUCGUAAGUCGUGUGUGAAAGGCGCGGGCUCAACCCGCGGACGGCACAUGAUACUGCGAGACUAGAGUAAGGGAGGGGGAACCGGAAUGCUCGGUGUAGCAGUGAAAUGCGUAGAUAUCGAGAGGAACACUCGUGGCGAAGGCGGGUUCCUGGACAUUAACUGACGCUGAGGCACGAAGGCCAGGGGAGCGAAAGGGAUUAGAUACCCCGGUAGUC